UAAUAUUUAAAAUAUAUAACUCAGGGCACCAUCCUUGUUAAGUAAGGAAACCAAUAUUACUUCUAGUAAUUAAUGAAUCUAUAAAUCUGUCUCAUAUCAUUGGGAUGAAUUCUCAAGCAGUAAAAACCAUAAAAUUACACAGACAAAGUACUGAAAGUUUAUAUGAAAGUUUAAUAAAGAAAAAUGAUGAACAGAAGAAUUUAAAGGAAAUGCACAAUUGCCAUGGUGAGAUCCUUAUGUCAAGUUUGGAGUUUAACUAUAUUGUUUGAGGGAUUUAACAAAGUGGGAUUUUGAGAAAGAAAAUAAAAAGGGAACUUAAUAAAUUUGAUGAAAGUUGA
Molecule: long non-coding RNA, 338 nt
Organism: Labrus mixtus (cuckoo wrasse)
Lineage: Eukaryota; Metazoa; Chordata; Actinopteri; Labriformes; Labridae
Exons: 2
Source: RefSeq, a predicted model, not a curated record